Molecule: microRNA precursor, 77 nt
Filed under: Xenopus laevis (African clawed frog)
Lineage: Eukaryota; Metazoa; Chordata; Amphibia; Anura; Pipidae
Description: mir-1788 microRNA precursor family
Rfam family: mir-1788 microRNA precursor family
Source: Rfam by way of RNAcentral
CAGAGUCCCAGGCUUGUUUUAAGUUGCCUGUGAUUGUUGGAAAGAGCACAGGCAGCUAAAGCAAGUCUGGGAAUCUG